AUUGAACGCUGGCGGCAGGCCUAACACAUGCAAGUCGAGCGGAGCUGCGGACGGGUGAGUAAUGCCUGGGUAUCUGCCUGGCCGAGGGGGAUAACGUCCGGAAACGGGCGCUAAUACCGUAUACUAUUAGAUGAGCCUAGGUCGGAUUAGCUAGUUGGUGGGGUAAAGGCCUACCAAGGCGACGAUCCGUAACUGGUCUGAGAGGAUGAUCAGUCACACUGGAACUGAGACACGGUCCAGACUCCUACGGGAGGCAGCAGUGGGGAAUAUUGGGCAAUGGGCGAAAGCCUGAUGCAGCCAUGCCGCGUGUGUGAAGAAGGUCUUCGGAUUGUAAAGCACUUUAAGUUGGGAGGCGUUACCAACAGAAAAAGCACCGGCUAACUACGUGCCAGCCGCCGCGGUAAUAC
RNAcentral lists this ribosomal RNA (407 nucleotides) under uncultured bacterium. Its description in RNAcentral is "partial 16S ribosomal RNA". It matches the Rfam family "Bacterial small subunit ribosomal RNA", at positions 30 to 526 of the family's 1533-position model. The record is from RNAcentral.